This 301-nucleotide ribosomal RNA is filed under the name uncultured bacterium. RNAcentral's name for it is "partial 16S ribosomal RNA". It matches the Rfam family "Bacterial small subunit ribosomal RNA", at positions 509 to 809 of the family's 1533-position model. The record is from RNAcentral.
CAGUCGCCACGGUAAUACGUAGGUGGCAAGCGUUGUCCGGAAUUAUUGGGCGUAAAGGGCUCGCAGGCGGUUUCUUAAGUCUGAUGUGAAAGCCCCCGGCUCAACCGGGGAGGGUCAUUGGAAACUGGGAAACUUGAGUGCAGAAGAGGAGAGUGGAAUUCCACGUGUAGCGGCGAAAUGCGUAGAGAUGUGGAGGAACACCAGUGGCGAAGGCGACUCUCUGGUCUGUAACUGACGCUGAGGAGCGAAAGCGUGGGGAGCGAACAGGAUUAGAUACCCCGGUAGUCCCUGUCUCUUAUAU